RNAcentral lists this ribosomal RNA (256 nucleotides) under uncultured bacterium. RNAcentral describes it as "partial 16S ribosomal RNA". It matches the Rfam family "Bacterial small subunit ribosomal RNA", at positions 524 to 776 of the family's 1533-position model. The record is from RNAcentral.
UACGUAGGGACCGAGCGUUGUCCGGAAUCAUUGGGCGUAAAGGGCGCGUAGGCGGUUCUGUAAGUCCCGCGUGAAAUCCCCCGGCUCAACUGGGGAACGGCGCGGGAUACUGUGGGGCUUGAGUUCGGGAGAGGGAAGCGGAAUUCCGGGUGUAGCGGUGAAAUGCGUAGAUAUCCGGGAGGAACACCGGUGGCGAAGGCGGGUCUUUGGGCAGUAACUGACGCUGAGGAGCGAAAGCGUGGGGGAGCGAAACAGG